Molecule: unclassified non-coding RNA, 402 nt
Filed under: soil metagenome
Description: partial contains 5.8S ribosomal RNA, internal transcribed spacer 2, and large subunit ribosomal RNA
Rfam family: 5.8S ribosomal RNA (bases 1-121)
Source: RNAcentral
GAUGAAGAACGCAGCGAAAUGCGAUAAGUAAUGUGAAUUGCAGAAUUCAGUGAAUCAUCGAAUCUUUGAACGCACCUUGCGCCCUUUGGCCAUUCCGAAGGGCAUGCCUGUUUGAGUAUCAUGAACACCUCAACUCUUUAUGGUUUUCCAUGAUGAGCUUGGACUGUGGAGGUUUUGUUGGCCCUGUGGUCAGCUCCUCUCAAAUGGAUCAGCUUACCGGUGUUUGGUGGCAUUACGGGUGUGAUAACUAUCUACGCUCGUGGUCGUCUCCAAAUAACCUCCAGUGAUGGAGGUUCGCUGGAGCUUAUAAAUGUCUCUCCCCAGUGAAGACAGCCUUUGAACGUUCGAUCUCAAAUCAGGUAGGACUACCCGCUGAACUUAAGCAUAUCAAUAAGCGGAGGA